Molecule: long non-coding RNA, 1671 nt
Filed under: Canis lupus familiaris (dog)
Lineage: Eukaryota; Metazoa; Chordata; Mammalia; Carnivora; Canidae
Description: lncRNA (ENSCAFG00030018218.1)
Source: RNAcentral
GGGCGGGGGGAGGUGUGUUCAUUCACUGGCAUUAAAAUAAUUACUUUCCCCCAUCCUCUUCCUCCCUCUAGUAGUUCUCCAAUUAUCAGACUCUGAGUUUGGGGUUCUUUACUGCGUAUGAAUGAAUGAUAAAAGCACAGUGACUAAAUUAGAGUGCUAAUGAUUUUGGCCUCAUUGGCAAGGUGCCUCUAACGUGGUCACCUAAGCAGCCAUGGUGACUGAGUAUCUUUUCUGUAGCCCAAGAAGAGCCUGGGGGUAUGCUCACCAGGCCUACACAGUUAUAAUGCUCUUAUGGUUAGCAAGCCCCCAAAUGUCUGGAUUGUUCAAUCUAUGGGAAAUACUGGAAAAUGAAGUCCUAGACUUCAAAAAUAUGAUAGAAGUAGCCCAUUUCAGAGUCCAUUCCUUUCUUGUUAUGUAUCUUGGAAAUAGCUAUUUUCCUUACUCCCUUUUUUGGUUUUCUGGGACCUGGAAGGAUUAUAGAGGGGAUAUCCUUGGAAUCUUUAUUCUGUUCCAGUCUGACCAAUUCACAUACAGAGGCACAGUAUUAAAUGCUUCUUCUUAUACUGACACCCUCAAAGGGUGGUGGUAUAGGGGCCACUCCUAGGGAGCAGUUAGUCUUCUGCAUUUUCUAAGCACUUGGCAGAAGAGAAACUUGGGUUGAGACCAUUUAUUUUUUAUUUUUAUUUAUUAUUAUUAUUUUUUGAGACCAUUUUUGAUUCACUAUACCUUUUUAUGCUCCAGGUUUUCCUCAGGAAGAGAUCUAGCUUGGAAUGGUGUAGAGAUGGUGAAAAUAUUCUUCCUAGAAAGUACUUAAACUAUUGUUUGUUUGUUUUUUUGGCUCCUCUAGAAUUCAUUACUGACCUAGACUUGAUCACUGACCUUGAGUUGCUUAAUGAACUUGAGUUGAUUAAUGCCUUUGAGUUGACCGCUGGACUAGAGUCCACUGCUGACCUAGAGUCGACCACCCAAGAGUCCCCUACCCACCUGGAGUUGUCCACCACCACAGAGUCCACCAUGACUCCGGGGUCCCCCACCAACCUCGAGCCCACUGCCACCCUGGAGUCUACCGCCGACCAGGAGUCCACAGCAACCCCAGAGUCCCCCACUGACCUGGUGUCUACUGCCACCCCAGAGUCCACUGCCACUCCAGAAUCCCCCACCAACCUGGAGUCCACCACCACUCUAGAGUCUACCGCUGACCAGGAGUCCACAAUGACCCCAGAGUCCCCCACUGACUUGGAGUCCACUGCCACCCCGGAGUCCUCCACCAACCUGCAGUCCACCGCCACCCCAGAGUCCAUCACCGACCUGGAGUCCACUACCACCACUCCAGAGACCCCGGCCAACCUGGAGUCCACCGCUAUCCCAGAGUCCGCCACUGACCUGGAGUCAACCACUAACCUAGUCUCCAUUAGUGAUGUAGAAUCUACCACAGAUGUGCAUUUUGAGAAUGCACAAACUUUCGAAUUAUCUACUGAGGUGGAAUCAAACAUUCAUAGCUUUGAGGAAGCAACCACUAAAGCCACUGAAAGUCUCACUGCUGCUCAUUCAGAAGAGCCCAUCACUAGAGGACCAGAAGAGCCUGGAACUUCUGUGGGAAGCAACGAGUCCAUCUCAGUACUUUUUUGUAAGUUUCUGCUCUCUUACCCUGAUUCCUUAACAGGGGUUUGA